Molecule: ribosomal RNA, 327 nt
Filed under: uncultured eukaryote
Lineage: Eukaryota
Description: partial 18S ribosomal RNA
Rfam family: Eukaryotic small subunit ribosomal RNA
Source: RNAcentral
CCCUUAGAUGUUCUGGGCCGCACACGCGCUACACUGAAGGAGGCAGCGUGUACUCCUGGAUCGAAAGAUUUGGGUAACCCGCGAAUCUCCUUCGUGCUAGGGAUUGAGGUUUGCAAUUAUCCUUCAUGAACGAGGAAUUCCCAGUAAGUGCAAGUCAUAAGCUUGCGCUGACUACGUCCCUGCCCUUUGUACACACCGCCCGUCGCUACUAUCGAUUGAAUGAUUUAGUGAGGACUUCGGACUGGGACCGAUGCGGCUUUCGGGCUGCGUCGGUAUUCUGGAAAGAUGUCCAAACUGUAUCAUUUAGAGGAAGUAAAAGUCGUANCA